CGUCGACCGGCGCACGGGUGAGUAACGCGUAUCCAACCUUCCCAUUACUGUGGGAUAACCUGCCGAAAGGCAGACUAAUACCGCAUAGUCUUCGAUGACGGCAUCAGAUUUGAAGUAAAGAUUUAUCGGUAAUGGAUGGGGAUGCGUCUGAUUAGCUUGUUGGCGGGGUAACGGCCCACCAAGGCAACGAUCAGUACGGGUUCUGUGAGGAAGGUCCCCCACAUUGGAACUGAGACACGGUCCAAACUCCUACGGGAGGCAGCAGUGAGGAAUAUUGGUCAAUGGACGGAAGUCUGAACCAGCCAAGUAGCGUGCAGGAUGACGGCCCUAUGGGUUGUAAACUGCUUUUGUAUGGGGAUAAAGUUAGGGACGUGUCCCUAUUUGCAGGUACCAUACGAAUAAGGACCGGCUAAUUCCGUGCCAGCAGCCGCGGUAAUACGGAAGGUCCAGGCGUUAUCCGGAUUUAUUGGGUUUAAAGGGAGCGUAGGCUGGAGAUUAAGUGUGUUGUGAAAUGUAGACGCUCAACGUCUGAAUUGCAGCGCAUACUGGUUUCCUUGAGUACGCACAACGUUGGCGGAAUUCGUCGUGUAGCGGUGAAAUGCUUAGAUAUGACGAAGAACUCCGAUUGCGAAGGCAGCUGACGGGAGCGCAACUGACGCUUAAGCUCGAAGGUGCGGGUAUCAAACAGGAUUAGAUACCCUGGUAGUCCGCACAGUAAACGAUGGAUGCCCGCUGUUGGUACCUG
Molecule: ribosomal RNA, 745 nt
Filed under: uncultured Prevotella sp.
Lineage: Bacteria; Pseudomonadati; Bacteroidota; Bacteroidia; Bacteroidales; Prevotellaceae
Description: bacterial SSU rRNA
Rfam family: Bacterial small subunit ribosomal RNA
Source: RNAcentral